This 1424-nucleotide long non-coding RNA is filed under the name Monodelphis domestica (gray short-tailed opossum). RNAcentral's name for it is "lncRNA (ENSMODG00000047670.1)". Lineage: Eukaryota; Metazoa; Chordata; Mammalia; Didelphimorphia; Didelphidae. The record is from RNAcentral.
CCUCCCCCCACCCCGCCCUCCUUUUCUCUGAGUCUUAGACUCCGGUCCAGAAAAAAAAAAAGGUAGGGAGGAAGAGAAGGGAACGGAUAGGAGAGCUUCGGCUCCAGGUUUUCCUUCAGACCCAGAGGGAGCCUGGACCGUUUGGAAAUCCCGGGCCGGGGAAGUGAGGCGAGAUUUGAGUCUUGCAGCGUAGCAGGUCCCCAGGAGUCGAGGCGCCAUCUGCAGUCAGCUUUGCCUCAGGGAGCAGCCAGCCCAGUGGGCAGGCGCCGGGGUUUCCCACACGAGUUCCUACAAACUCUGGGGGGCGGAGGGAGAGGGUUUCAUUGUUCCUCUGGGACCUGUAUAUUUCACUCCUCACAAUUACCCGCACACCCCCAGAGCUUAAGCCCCUAGGAGGGUGUCUAAGUGUUGGGGGGGCGGUGUAGGAGGCGCUGGGGAGGGAACGACUCCGCCCCCUUCUUUCUUCUUGCUCCCGGGUCGUUGAGUGCUCACGCUGUGGUCCCGCCCCAUUCCCGGGGCCGGGCUCUAACCUCCCAGUGGAGGGAAAGGGGGGGAGGGGAGAGGUUGUCAUGGCGACGCGUGGGUGCGCGCGCCGGCCCUGGCCACGCGGGGCUAACUCCGAAUCGGAGCAACACUGUUUGCCGGUGAAAGGGUGGGAAGGGAAAAUAGUUUUCAAAGGGUGAAGCAUCUCUCCAGGUCUCACCUGCACCAUGUCCAGAGUCAGUGUUGAUAGGAAGCGUCGAAUGGCUUCUCGGUCAUCAGUCCAGUCUGGCCAAAGUUCCUGGACAAAUGCAAUCCCAGAACCGGAGCUUCCCAAGGAGGAAAUUUCCAUUGUGGAGGAUGAAAGCAGUUUAAAAUAUCCUUGGUCCCUGAGGUUGAUAUUUUCAGGAAUAAAAAAGCUGGAGACCUUAAAUGAAAGGAACAAUCAGAGAUAUAGUCCUGUUAGAGCUUCAAUAGUCUUUAGAAAUAAUAACUCUGCUGAGGAGAUAUGGGAGCCCAUCUAAGGAAGGGUGGAAGGGAGUAAACUUAACUACUAAAUCUGAAAGGAUUAAAACAUCCAAAGCAAUCCUGGAAUUGACUUUGUUUUCCUAGCCUCCCUAGACCUGGAAAGGCCCAAUCUAGUCCAUAGAGCAAAGAUUAAAACACUCUUCUCUCACUUCUCUUGUAAAGAUUAAAAUUUAGGGGAGACUGAGGCAGGUAGAAAUUAGUUUCUCUCUGCAAGGAGUAUUAUAUUUUUAGAGGUUUAUUAGAGAAUAAGGAUUAAAGAAAAUACAGGAUAAGAAAAAAACACAUGCCUAGGCCAGAGGCCUAGACAAGAUAACCUCACAUCAUGGAAGAGACUCCUCUGCUUCAAAAAAGGAAGUCCAAAAGCCUGAGCCCGCCUACGGGGAAGACCCUUUAAAUAAAAUUUUGUUCUCGUCCCA